UACGUAGGGUGCAAGCGUUGUCCGGAAUUAUUGGGCGUAAAGAGCUCGUAGGCGGUCUGCCGCGUCGGAUGUGAAAACUCGGGGCUCAACCCCGGGCCUGCAUUCGAUACGGGCAGACUAGAGUUCGGCAGGGGAGACUGGAAUUCCUGGUGUAGCGGUGAAAUGCGCAGAUAUCAGGAGGAACACCGGUGGCGAAGGCGGGUCUCUGGGCCGAAACUGACGCUGAGGAGCGAAAGCGUGGGGAGCAAACAGG
RNAcentral lists this ribosomal RNA (253 nucleotides) under uncultured bacterium. Its description in RNAcentral is "partial 16S ribosomal RNA". It matches the Rfam family "Bacterial small subunit ribosomal RNA", at positions 524 to 776 of the family's 1533-position model. The record is from RNAcentral.